AGGAUGAACGCUGGCGGCGUGCUUAACACAUGCAAGUCGAACGGUGAAGUGAGGAGCUUGCUCCUUGCGGAUCAGUGGCGAACGGGUGAGUAACACGUGAGUAACCUGCCCUUGACUCUGGGAUAAGCGUUGGAAACGACGUCUAAUACCGGAUACGACCUCCGAAGGCAUCUUCUGGAGGUGGAAAGAAUUUCGGUCAAGGAUGGACUCGCGGCCUAUCAGCUAGUUGGUGAGGUAAUGGCCCACCAAGGCGACGACGGGUAGCCGGCCUGAGAGGGUGACCGGCCACACUGGGACUGAGACACGGCCCAGACUCCUACGGGAGGCAGCAGUGGGGAAUAUUGCACAAUGGGCGCAAGCCUGAUGCAGCAACGCCGCGUGAGGGACGACGGCCUUCGGGUGUAAACCUCGUUUAGUAGGGAAGAAGCGAAAGUGACGGUACUGCAGAAAAGCACCGGCUAACUACGCGCCAGCAGCCGCGGU
RNAcentral lists this ribosomal RNA (483 nucleotides) under uncultured bacterium. RNAcentral's name for it is "SSU rRNA". It matches the Rfam family "Bacterial small subunit ribosomal RNA", at positions 26 to 521 of the family's 1533-position model. The record is from RNAcentral.